CCCAGGUGUCCUCCAGGUGUGCCCAGGUGUCCCCCAGGUGUGCCCAGGUGUCCCCCAGGUGUGCCCAGGUGUGGCUCGGAGCCGUUGAGGAAGGUGGCCGCCCCUCCCCCGCCGUAGACCAGAACCCCUCCGGACCAAUCGAAGGCGCCGACGGCUCCCAGGGCCGGACCGGCCUGGAGGGGGUCAAAGGUCAAAGGUCAGCGGGGUCAGAGGGGUCAAAGGUCAAGGGGGUCAGAGGGGUCAAAGGUCAAGGGGGUCAGAGGGGUCAAGCAUCAAAGGUCAGAGGGGUCAAAGGUCAGGGGUCAGUGGGGUCAAAGGGGUCAGAGGUCAAGGGUCAGUGGACAGGGGUCAAGGGUCAGGGGUCAUCUACAGGGCUCAGGGUCAGUGGUCAGUGGACAGGGGUCAGGGGUCAGGGGUCAGAGGUCAGGGGUCAGGGGUCAGAGGUCAGGGGUCAGAGGUCAGAGGUCAGGGGUCAGGGGUCAGGGGUCAGAGGUCAGGGGUCAGGGGUCAGUGGUCAGUGGUCAGAGGUCAGGGGUCAAAGGUCAGGGGUCACCUACAGGGGUCAGGGCGGCGCUGAACCCCUCCUGGGCCAUCUCCAGCUGGAAGGAGCUGCUGAGGGCGGAUUGCGUACCUGGGACAGGUGAGGGACAGGUGAGGGACAGGUGAGGGACAGGUGAGGGACAGGUGUGACCCCAGGUGUGACCCCAGGUGUGUCCCCAGGUGUGUCCAGGUGUCCCCAGGUGUGCCUGGGUGUCCCCAGGUGUGUCCCAGGUGUGUCCCAGAUGUGUCCCCAGAUG
Molecule: long non-coding RNA, 797 nt
Filed under: Parus major (Great Tit)
Lineage: Eukaryota; Metazoa; Chordata; Aves; Passeriformes; Paridae
Description: lncRNA (ENSPMJG00000002263.1)
Source: RNAcentral